GUGGGGAAUAUUGCACAAUGGGCGAAAGCCUGAUGCAGCGACGCCGCGUGAGCGAUGAAGUAUUUCGGUACGUAAAGCUCUAUCAGCAGGGAAGAUAAUGACGGUACCUGACUAAGAAGCACCGGCUAAAUACGUGCCAGCAGCCGCGGUAAUACGUAUGGUGCAAGCGUUAUCCGGAUUUACUGGGUGUAAAGGGAGCGUAGGCGGCGUGGUAAGUCAGAAGUGAAAGCCCGGAGCUCAACCCCGGGACUGCUUUUGAAACUAUCAUGCUAGAGUGUCGGAGAGGUAAGUGGAAUUCCUAGUGUAGCGGUGAAAUGCGUAGAUAUUAGGAGGAACACCAGUGGCGAAGGCGGCUUACUGGACGAUAACUGACGCUGAGGCUCGAAAGCGUGGGGAGCAAACAGGAUUAGAAACCCGUGUAGUCC
Molecule: ribosomal RNA, 425 nt
Filed under: uncultured bacterium
Lineage: Bacteria
Description: partial 16S ribosomal RNA
Rfam family: Bacterial small subunit ribosomal RNA
Source: RNAcentral